CUUAAUUCAAAACUUUUACAAAAUCUAACCCACCUAAGCAAAUGAAUCUUUGAUGGUAAAAUAUAACCUAAUCUCAUGUAAGUCGAGAUAUAUUUUUUUCCUAAAAAUGAUACUACAAAUUUGUCUUCACCCAUCAAUCUAACUUAGAUGCACAAACAAACUGCAUCUCAACCGAUACACACAAAUUUCUCUAUAUCAGCUGUCACACAAAUUUACCUAACAUAAAGCUGCAAAGUAUUGACCAAAGAUCCAGAAAUAUGGCACAUACCAUGCAGCCAUGUAUGCAGAAUAGAGGUCCUCGUUCUUUCAUUCUGGGUAACUGAAGAAUGCAGAGCUUUAAACAACCAUGACUCUUGCAGCAUAAGCAAGCAUAGCAGAGUUAAUGAUCAGUUGGGUAGAGUUGACAGCCUCAUUCUCGCCACAGCUUCCUUGAUUUGCUUGAUCAUAAAACGCAGAAUGAUUCGUCAUCCGCAAGCGCAUCGAUCACUGAAUGGGUAACAUCAACAUCAAUGAUCAAAGCCCAGAGGCUUUGUAGGAUUCUCAGCAGCAAGCAGCAGCCUUGGCAUAACAUCCACAGAAUAAAUGUGGAAGCAUACAGUGACAAAUUAAGAGAGAGUGACAGUAUUAUGAAGUAUGAACACAGAGAUAAGAGGAAACAGCAUUAUGCUAUAAAUAAAAACUUAGAACUGAAUAAAGAACUUAUCUCAUAGCAUUCCAACUCUUACAAGGAACAAUAGAACUCAUGACAUGAUUUUAACAAGAUAUUCUAUAUAACUUGUCAUGAGAUAGAUUUAUAUAGUCGACCAGAGAAAAGAUAUCCUUCUGGGAAUCUCAAUGCAAAAACAUCAAGUUUUCAGACUGAAGGGUAGUUAAAUGAUUUUUCACGUUCAAAUGACAAAGCUUACCAAAAUAUUUUGCAGUGCAUAUUGCCAAAAUAGUAGCUUCACUAUUUAACUUCUUCAUCUGUUCCUU
This 972-nucleotide long non-coding RNA is filed under the name Musa acuminata (dwarf banana). RNAcentral describes it as "long non-coding RNA (MACU_LNC001765)". Lineage: Eukaryota; Viridiplantae; Streptophyta; Magnoliopsida; Zingiberales; Musaceae. The record is from RNAcentral.